AUGAGGGUCACUGAGCGGGCGGUGGAGAUCGGAUACGUGCGACCCCAGGUGUCGUGGGCUCCUGCCGCGAGGUGGUCCCGUGCGCGCAGUCCCAUGGUCCCGGUGCACCUGCGCAGGCUCCACCUGCCUCGACCUUUGGUGGGAGCACCUCCCAGCCCACAAGGCUCCCGCGCCACAUCCUGCCCGAAGGUGGGAGCCAGGGGCCACUCUAGCCGGACUGGUGAAGCUCCUCCUCCAAGUGCUCAUGGAACAGUCGGGAAACUGAGGCCAGGAGAGGCAGGGACUGGCCGGGAACCCACCAGACGAAAUCAACCGAUGAAAUCGGGAAACGAUUGGCGGAAUCUGGAUUCACCCGCCCUACAGAGUUGUGCGUGUGCCCCGUCGCCCAGGAGGGCCACCCUGGACCCAGGGAGAGAGUGGCUGCAGGGAGGUCUUGGGAAGCAGGGCCUGGAGUUGGCCUGGGAAGGCCUCCUUCACCGCCCUGGCCCCUCCACAGGGUCCUGGUUCACGGGUCCUGGGAUCAGGACCCGGAGCCCCCGGAGCCAGAGCCCGAGGAGUCCGGGGCAGGAGCAGAAGCCGGUGCGGCUCCAGAGCCCGACCCAAGGGCAUCGGGGUCCUCGGCGUCUCUGCAGGCAGGGGUGGAGUCUGGAGCGACUCCUGCAGGGGCCCGGGCGGUGCUGGGCCACCCAGGGAGGAGCCCCCGGAGCCAGAGCCCGAGGGUGAGAAGGCUGGGGUGGGAGAUGUGUGUUCACGGGGCCCGGGCGGUGCUGGGCCACCCAGGGAGGAGCCCCCGGGGGCUGGUGUGGGGCCAGGAGCAGAGACUGAGAGCCCGGGCGGUGCUGGGCCACCCAGGGAGGAGCCCCCGGGGGCUGGUGUGGGGCCAGGAGCAGAAGCCGGUGCGGCUCCAGAGCCCGACCCAAGGGCAUCGGGGUCCUCGGCGUCUCUGCAGGCAGGGGUGGAGUCUGGAGCGACUCCUGCAGGGGCCCGGGUGGUGCCGGGCCACCCUGGGAGGAGCCCCCGGGGGCUGGUGUGGGGCCAGGAGCAGAAGCCGGUGCGGCUCCAGAGCCCGACCCAAGGGCAUCGGGGUCCUCGGCGUCUCUGCAGGCAGGGGUGGAGUCUGGAGCGACUCCUGCAGGGGCCUGGGAGCCAGCAGGUGACCUGGGACCUGUGCAGGGACAGCGGGCACCUGAGCAGAGUCAGCUGGGUCCUGCUUCUGCUCCCAACACUGCUCCUGCCAUCGCCCUUCUCCCCGCCCCUGCCACUGCCCUUGAUCCCACAUGGAUGUCGGCCAAAAAUCAAGGGCUUGAAGACCUAUACAGGGUGCUUUUUUUAUCUUAUUUUAUUUUUUGUUUAUUAUAUUUUAUUUCAAAUUCAUUCUCCAAUCCCUGACCCCGACCCCCCACCAAAAUGUCUCUUCCUCUUCUCCCUUAUCCUUUUUCUCUUCUAUUUUUUAGCUGUUACUUUAUUUGUUCAUUGUUUCUUUAUAAUCCACAUUAAUCUUCAAUAAAAUGUUUUAUUUAUUUUACGUUGUGCA
This 1534-nucleotide long non-coding RNA is filed under the name Felis catus (domestic cat). RNAcentral describes it as "lncRNA (ENSFCAG00000047625.1)". Lineage: Eukaryota; Metazoa; Chordata; Mammalia; Carnivora; Felidae. The record is from RNAcentral.